CUGCGGAAGGAUCAUUAUUG
This 20-nucleotide ribosomal RNA is filed under the name Rhizoctonia solani. Its description in RNAcentral is "partial 18S ribosomal RNA". Lineage: Eukaryota; Fungi; Basidiomycota; Agaricomycetes; Cantharellales; Ceratobasidiaceae. The record is from RNAcentral.